Molecule: long non-coding RNA, 1919 nt
Organism: Haplochromis burtoni (Burton's mouthbrooder)
Lineage: Eukaryota; Metazoa; Chordata; Actinopteri; Cichliformes; Cichlidae
Exons: 3
Source: RefSeq, a predicted model, not a curated record
UCAUGUGAUAUUUUGAAUCUCCAUAUAUCAUUCCCUGUAUGCCUCUGUGAUGCCAAUGCAGACAAUGACAGUAAGAAAUAUAGUUUUAAAUAGCUUCAUAGGAUUAUUAUCAUUUUGACCAGAUCAGAUUCAGAUCAAUCUACUGAGAGGUCAGAGGUCAAAUGGGAUAUAUUUUAAUAGUUAUACAAUACUUUCCAAAUGUUGCUAACAUACACCACACUUAUAAGAAUCAUAGUUUUUGUCUGUUUUCAACUAACAAAUUGUGAAGUUGUAAACCAAAUUUUAAUGGCCCGUUAACACGUCCUCCUGCUACACCACCACAAAGUCUCAUCAGAAUUUGCUGAAAACUUUUCGAGCUAUCGUGUUUACAGAGUGAACGACAUGCACGCAUGCACACAAAAAAACGUAACUUCCUUGGAAGAAGUAAUCAAAUCGAUUCCUUGCAGGUCUAAUCAGUUGUUUGUUUUCAGCAAAGCUUCAGCAUCCUCAGAUGUUCAUUAUGUGUUUUUCUCAUUGUCACAGCUGUUAAAGUUUAUUAACUAAAAUCAGUAUUUUUGGAAGAAAUGUUGCCAUCACACACAACAAGGCCCAGGAGAACAACAAAGGCAGGAACACAGACAGCAUACUAAUUUUACUUCUUCUUCUACUCCUUUUGCAAACAGUCAGUGUAUUUUCUGCCAGCUUCAUCUGAAAGGAUAAGAUGAAUGCGCCUGUAGGAAAAAAGUCCUAAGCUAAUUUGUUGUGUUUUGGUCGACAUUGAACCGCUGCGCUCCGCAUCACAGUCUGCCUUUUUGCAACUUCUUGUCCCUGGAUUUGUCUCAUCUAAAUGCACACAUCCUGAGAUACCCUGCAGUGGAUUCCUGCCACAUAAGCUGUAAUAUCACCUGGGCAGGAAGCUGGGCAGCUGUGAGAUCCAAAUAUCACCAUCACGAGUGAGCCGGAUGUUUCUUAUUAUGUUCCAAGAUGCCUGGCAGCUCACUAUUUCACUUAUUUUGUCCAGUAUAUUCACUAUCUGCCCUCUGCACAUGUCCAAAACAUCUAAACCUCACCUCUCUAACUUUGUCUGCCUGCUCUCUUCUUCACCUCUUCUGUGCCCAGGUGUUUAAACUUUCUCUCUUAUUCAAACUCAUGUAUUGGAGGUGUGCUUUCUUUUCAUACCUCCACCUCUAAUGCGUCUCUACCACCUGCUCCCUACUCUCACUACAGGUCACAAUGUCAUCGUCUGCAGACACUCCUGCCGGUCAGCCUGUCCAUCACUGCUGCAAACAAAGAAUGAGCUCAGAGCUGAUCUCUGAUGUGAUCCAACCUCCAUCUGUCACUCCUACUGUACACCUCACCACUGUCUUCCUGUCCUCAUCCAUGUCCACCACACUCACAUACUUCUCUGCCACUCAUGUCUACCUCAGUUCUUCUCCCUGUUAUGUCCUUUUUUCACAAAGACAGAGUGAAGUGCCGUCUGACCUUGUCAGUACUUGUUUUCUUCCAGGACUCUUUUCUGGAUCUUCGCGGUGUGGCUUUGUGCAGUUACCACAGUUCUCUUAUUCCUGAAACUCAGUAUUAAAACACUUCUUCUCCAUUCCUGAGAAAUCCUGUCAUUCUUCAAUAUUGUGUUAAACAACCACUCUCCUAGACAUCCUCACACCUGUGGAAGUACAGAGAUUCAGCUGGACCAGCUACCGUUCUUCAUCCUCUUCAAAGCUUCCCUCACUUCCUUUUUACUAAUCCACUUUCCUCCAUCUGUCCUCUUCUCUCAUUUUCCUCAUUCAUGAAGUCCUAAAAGUACUCCUUCCAUCUUUUCAUCUCACUCAUCGCUCUCCUUUCCAGCUCAAUGUCUGUCAAUGUCUCUGUCAAGCCAAAAAUCCCUUUCUUGUUUCUUAGUUCCUAACAAUCAGUAAACAUCACAGUACUUCAGCUUUCAG